UACAGAGGUCUCAAGCGUUGUUCGGAUUCAUUGGGCGUAAAGGGUGCGUAGGCGGCGCGGUAAGUCGGGUGUGAAAUUUUGGAGCUUAACUCCGAAAUUGCAUUCGAUAUUGCCGUACUUGAGGACUGGAGAGGAGACUGGAAUUUACGGUGUAGCGGUGAAAUGCGUAGAUAUCGAAGGAAGACCAGUGGCGAAGGCAGGUCUCUGGAUAGUUCCUGACGCUGAGGCACGAAGGCCAGGGGAGCAAACGGG
This 252-nucleotide ribosomal RNA is filed under the name uncultured bacterium. RNAcentral's name for it is "partial 16S ribosomal RNA". It matches the Rfam family "Bacterial small subunit ribosomal RNA", at positions 524 to 776 of the family's 1533-position model. The record is from RNAcentral.